RNAcentral lists this unclassified non-coding RNA (254 nucleotides) under uncultured Knufia. RNAcentral's name for it is "sequence contains ITS2". The stretch from base 1 to 52 matches the Rfam family "5.8S ribosomal RNA", at positions 103 to 154 of the family's 154-position model. The record is from RNAcentral. Lineage: Eukaryota; Fungi; Ascomycota; Eurotiomycetes; Chaetothyriales; Chaetothyriaceae.
AACGCACAUUGCGCCCACUGGUAUUCCGGUGGGCAUGCCUGUUCGAGCGUCAUUAUCCCCCCUCAAACCCCGUGUUUGGUGUUAGACCCAAGUUGUGUGAACAACUGGUCUCAAAGACAAUGACGGCGUCCGUGGGACCCUCGGUGCAACGAGCUUUUAGGAGCACGCGCUGAGUUUCAAGGACCCUCCGGGCCGGUCUCCUAUUUAUCAUCAAGGUUGACCUCGGAUCAGGUAGGAAUACCCGCUGAACUUAA